Mandrillus leucophaeus (drill) is the source of this 645-nucleotide non-coding RNA. The record is from the annotation of a RefSeq genome assembly. NCBI's taxonomy places the organism in Eukaryota, Metazoa, Chordata, Mammalia, Primates, Cercopithecidae.
AGACCUUGCCUGUGGGGUCAUGGGAGCUCAAAAUGCCACUCAUUUCCUCCACAGGACCAGAUGCCUGAGCUAGGAGAGGCCUCAUUCCUGCUGUGAUCCUGCCAUGGAUACCCGCCUCCUAUGCUGGGCAAUUUUUAGUCUCUUGAAAGCAGGACACACAGAACCUGAAGUCACCCAGACUCCCAGCCAUCAGGUCACACAGAUGGGACAGGAAGUGAUCUUGCGGUGUGUCCCCAUCUCUAAUCAUUUCUACUUCUAUUGGUACAGACAAAUCUUGGGGCAGAAAGUCGAGUUUCUGGUUUCCUUUGUUAAUGAUGAGAUCUCAGACAAGUCUGAAAUGUUCGAUGAUCGAUUCUCAGUUGAAAGGCCUGAUGGAUCAAAUUUCACUCUGAAGAUCAAGUCCACAAAGCUGGAGGACUCAGCCAUGUACUUCUGUGCCAGCAGUGAAGCCACAGCCUUACAAAGACACCUCCAGUCUGUUCAAAAACCCUCAUAGAUCUGUCUCCCUCCCAGCCGCCAGCUCCCACUUCCUGUCUAAGAAAAGGAAGUAUCUGGUUGGGUUUGUUCUUGCAGCCAUCUCCAAAUAGACAGAUAUCUGAAAUUAAAUUCCCAAAGAUAUCUUGGGCAGAAAUGGUCAGAUACUGU